Molecule: ribosomal RNA, 274 nt
Filed under: uncultured bacterium
Lineage: Bacteria
Description: partial 16S ribosomal RNA
Rfam family: Bacterial small subunit ribosomal RNA
Source: RNAcentral
AUACGGGGAGGGCAAGCGUUACCCGGAAUUACUGGGCUUAAAGGGGGAGUAGGCGGUCAGGCAAGUCAGGUGUGUAAUCCACCGGCUCAACCGGUGGGCUGCGCCUGAAACUGCCUGGCUAGAGGGCGCCAGAGGGGAGCGGAACUCUCGGUGUAGCGGUGAAAUGCGUAGAUAUCGGGGGGAACACCGGUGGCGAAGGCGGCUCCCUGGGGCGUCCCUGACGCUGAGUCCCGAAGGCCAGGGGAGCAAAGGGGAUUAGAAACCCCAGUAGUCC